This 23-nucleotide non-coding RNA is filed under the name Drosophila melanogaster (fruit fly). The record is from RNAcentral. Lineage: Eukaryota; Metazoa; Arthropoda; Insecta; Diptera; Drosophilidae.
AGAUGUAAGAAUAACGGGUUUGA